UAUUCAGCAAAAUAAUUUUUUCUAUGUGAAGGAUAAACAAAGACUUUCUCAUAUAACCAAAAAGUGAGGGAAUUUGUUGCCAGUAGACCUGCC
Ceratotherium simum simum (southern white rhinoceros) is the source of this 93-nucleotide non-coding RNA. The record is from RefSeq and is a predicted model, not a curated record. NCBI's taxonomy places the organism in Eukaryota, Metazoa, Chordata, Mammalia, Perissodactyla, Rhinocerotidae.